Molecule: long non-coding RNA, 3522 nt
Filed under: Citrus maxima (pomelo)
Lineage: Eukaryota; Viridiplantae; Streptophyta; Magnoliopsida; Sapindales; Rutaceae
Description: long non-coding RNA (CMAX_LNC003074)
Source: RNAcentral
UUUUUUUGCAUCCCCCUGGGGGACAAGGGUAGAUAUAAUCUUCGAGAGCUUUCUUUAACUCUGCAAUCAAACACUCUUCCCUUGUAAGCCCUGAGCAAUCAACAAUGUCAGGUGAUGCUGUAGGAUUAAUGGAAAAUGAGGCAUCUGGGUUAGAUCCUUCGCCAAUGUGACUGGCUAAAAUAAGUCUACUUUUAGUGUUUGCCACUACAAGCAAAGCCAAGAUGAUGAAACUAAGGCUCCUCGACAUAUUUAUGCUUCUUAGGUGAAUUAUUAGUAACUUAAUUAGAAGUAAAAGAGAUCUACGACAAUCAGGAUGGCAUAAGUCUCCAUUUAUAUGAAUGAAUAUUGAGAAACGUGUUGUUGUGACUUUAAUGGAAUUGAAAGAUUCCAUAAAUGAGGAUUAAAUAAAUUAGGCUAUGUUUGUUUAAAUUAACUAUUGACUUGAAUAUCAUGUUGCGUUAUGACGGCAAUUUUAACAUACAUUUAAUUAAUUCUAUCGUUUUUAGUGUUAUUUUUUUGUUUAGUUUUUUAUUAGAUUCAUUCUCAUUAUAUCAAUCGUCAAACUAUUUUUUUUUUAAUAUGUAAACACGUUUCUAUAAGCCACGCCCUCCAAUGAAAUUAACCACAUCCUAUUUUAAGCAAGCUAGUGACACAAUCAAUCCCAUAUAUUUGCAUGGAUAUAGAGUAAUAUUUUUAUAAAUUAAUAAUAAAGAAAUCACAAAACAUCUAUUAAUUUAAAGAGAUAUUGAUAUUAAUCAAUCAAUAAGUUGUAUAAGAGAUUAUGUUUUAUAAUUCUAUGGUCACAUUCUUACUACAAAAUAAUAAUUUGCUAGGCUUACAAACAUAAUUGUUAUAAUAUGUUAUUAAAUAAAACAUGAAUCUAUUAUUAUUUGUUUUUCUUCAAAUCUAAACAUAGUGGGAUCUCAUAUCUGAUAUUACUUAUUCUUGCUGAAUUCACAACUACAUGGAUUCUAUUUUUUUUUUUUUUGUUAAUUGUAAUCUAUAUUUAGGGGAUUAACUAACUUUGAAUUGGCUAGAUUGGUAAAAUACUAUGAAUUAUCUAGUUGAUUAAAUAUAUGUUCACUGAAUUGUAUAUACACAAUGAAUUAAUAGAUUAAUUUAGAUUAGUAUCCCUUUAUAUUAAUAGAUAUUAUAUGAUUAUGACAUUAUUAAUUUAUAGAGGCUUUAUUGUAUAUCCAUGCAAAUAUCUAGCAAUGUAUUGCGCCAUUUGCCUACCUAAAAUAUAGGUUGUGGUUAAUUCCAUUCGAGUACGUCGUUUCUAGAAAUAUUUUUACAUAUUGAAAAGAAUAGCCUAGCGAUUGAUAUAAAGAGAAAAAAAUUAAUAAUAAACUAAACAAAAUAAUACGAAAAAAUGAUAAAAUUAAUUAAAUAGAUGUUGAAAUCACCUUCAUAAUGCAACAAGAAAUUAAAAUCAACAGUUUAUUAAAACCAACGCAGCAUAAGUUAUUUAAACUUCAUUUUGAAUAUCUCUUUAUAUUAAUAGAUAUUGCAUGAUUUUGACAUUAUUAAUUUAUAAAGGCUUUAUUGAGCAAUCAAUAAUUUUAGGCGAUGAUGAAACUAAAAAUCUUUGACAUUUUUACAUUUCAUUAGUAGGUUGGCCACAAGCUUACCUCCAAGCACCUUAAUACGGUGACCAAAUUAAAGUAGCAUUAGUUAUUAGCUUCAUUGGACUCAUUAUCCACUUGUUGCUACUUUUCUAUUCAAUCCACACAGUAGGCUUGAAUCCCCCAGCUUGCUCAAAAGACUUAAUUUAUUGCCACAAGUUUUUUUGGCCACCCAAUUUGAGAAUUUGCUUCUUCUUUUUAUGAUGCUUCCCAUCUAAUAAGAGUGUGUGAUUAAGAACUUGUAUUUGUUUAAUUCAGAACAUCUCAAGAGCAUUACAAUAGAAAGACUGAAAAAGAAAAGCUGAAACUGACAACAUUGAUUAAAAUUCCUACUUGUUAUUCUUAGUAAUAACAACAUCUAGGUCUUAAAUUUGCAGGAGCCAACAUGAUGAAGCCUAUAUUUUGCAUCAUUAAAUGAUUAAUCUUAUUGUUAUCUCUGUUUUCACUAUUGUCUUAUCAAAAACAAUUUCUUACCAUACUAGCUGCAUAAAAAUUAACAAACUAACAUAUUAUCAUUUUAAGUCAUCAAUCAAGUAUAAAUAUUAUAUUAUUUAGUUAUAUAACAAGAAUAAAGAAAUAUCUAAAUUUCAAAGACAAAUCUUAAAUUAAAGCCAAACUAGCCAUCACAAAUAAAUAAAAUAAUACAUAUUUGUAUUUAGAAGCAACUGCUUGAAACAAUUUUGUAAUUACUAACAAGUUUUUCUUAAAUGAAAUAAAAUAACAUAAAAUAAACGAAAUUAAAAGCCAAUUUUUUUAUUUUCAAGUGAUGAAAUUAAAAUUAUGGUUACAAUUACAUGUGACUUCUGUUGUGCGACUUAGCCAACAAAUUGUCCAUUUACUUGCAUUAAUUUUUUUUCAUCUUGAACGCAAUUUGUGAAUCCGCCAUGACAACAUUGCAUCUAAUUAGAGAAAGACUUUUGUAUGUUUAGUAGAUGAGGUCAAUACGUGCCAGAAUAAUAGGAAAAUUUUGUUAUAUUAACUGGGCGAACUUCAAUUCAUUCUCCUGGCAAUAAAAAUCUUCAAUUUACCCUUCAAAAUCGUGAAAACCUCAACUUACCUAAAUUUUUGUUCAGAAGAUAAGCGUAAAUGAAUUUUUUAAUCUAUUUUUUUAGUAAUAAAAAAGGGUAAGAUGAUGUGUUCACGUUUCUUGGGGUAAAAUUGAUAUUUUCAUAAUUUAAAUUGAAGUCUAUACAUAAUUAGUUCAGGCAAUUAAAUUGAAUUUUUCCCUUAAAUUAACUCAAACAGUUUAGUAAUAUAAGAUUUCGAUAAAAUACAAGGGUUUUUUUUUUUCCCUUUUUGUGAGGAUGCAGCCUCACCCGAAGAGGAAAUGGAUUGAACGUUCAAAUAUUACUAGUACUAACACAGUAAUAAUGAUCAUUAUUAGUAUUUCAACAGAUUACUCUCUCAUAGAUUGAGUUAAUGAUUUGUAUACAACAAAAUAGCAUCACAUGCACGCACAAAAGGCACAUAUCAUAACAUUGCACACUCAUAAUGGAUUAGUUUCUUUUUUUUAUUAAGAUAUAGUUUCAAUUUCACUACACUUGAUCAUUGUUGCAAAAGCACUCAUAAAAGAUAAAAGAAAUAACUUAUUAUCAAAAUCAUUUGCAUCCCCCCGGGGGACAAUGAUAGAUAUAGUCUUCGAGAGCUUUCUUUAGCUUCGCAAUCAAACACUCUUCCCUUGUAAUCCCUGAGCAAUCAACAAUGUCUGGUGAUGCUGUAGGAUUACUGGAAAAUGAUGCAUCUGUGGUAGAUCCUUGGCCAAUAUAAUUGGCUAAAAUAAGUCUACUUUCAGUGUUUGCCACUACGAGCAAAGCCAAGAUGAUGAAACUAAGGCUCUUCGACAUAUUUCUAUUUCGUAGGUGAAUUAUCAAUAACUUAAUUAGAAGUAUAAGAGAUC